This 225-nucleotide ribosomal RNA is filed under the name uncultured bacterium. RNAcentral's name for it is "partial 16S ribosomal RNA". It matches the Rfam family "Bacterial small subunit ribosomal RNA", at positions 111 to 334 of the family's 1533-position model. The record is from RNAcentral.
UAACGCGUGAGGAACCUGCCUCAAAGAGGGGGACAACAGUUGGAAACGACUGCUAGUACCGCAUAAGCCCACAGCUCGGCAUCGAGCAGAGGGAAAAGGAGUGAUCCGCUUUGAGAUGGCCUCGCGUCCGAUUAGCUAGUUGGUGAGGUAAUGGCCCACCAAGGCGACGAUCGGUAGCCGGACUGAGAGGUUGAACGGCCACAUUGGGACUGAGACACGGCCCAG